RNAcentral lists this long non-coding RNA (261 nucleotides) under Numida meleagris (helmeted guineafowl). RNAcentral describes it as "lncRNA (ENSNMEG00000009667.1)". Lineage: Eukaryota; Metazoa; Chordata; Aves; Galliformes; Numididae. The record is from RNAcentral.
GCCCAUUCUCUAGGACCAUGUCCUUGCUGCUCCCAGCUACCUUUCCUGCUUCUCCUAGGCUCAGACUUGACUGUUUUGGACUUGGGGCUGAGCUCCCUGCUGUGCUGCAGCUGAAGCAUCCCCUCGUUGUGUUCUUGCUGGGACUUGGCUCUGGGGAACGAGAGUAUUUUGAUGAAGCUGAGCAAUAUGGCGAAAUUAAAACUUACUCUGGUUUUAAUUUGUACUAAUCACGCACUCAGAAAUAAAGAAUUGGUCCCCCAA